UACGUAGGGGGCAAGCGUUGUCCGGAUUUAUUGGGCGUAAAGAGCGUGUAGGCGGCCAUACAGGUCAGCUGUGAAAACUCGAGGUUCAACCUCGAGACGUCGGUUGAAACCGUUUGGCUAGAGUCCGGAAGAGGAGAGUGGAAUUCCCGGUGUAGCGGUGAAGUGCGCAGAUAUCGGGAAGAACACCCGUGGCGAAGGCGGCUCUCUGGGACGGUACUGACGCUGAGACGCGAAAGCGUGGGGAGCGAACAGG
This 253-nucleotide ribosomal RNA is filed under the name uncultured bacterium. RNAcentral's name for it is "partial 16S ribosomal RNA". It matches the Rfam family "Bacterial small subunit ribosomal RNA", at positions 524 to 776 of the family's 1533-position model. The record is from RNAcentral.